This is a long non-coding RNA of Tympanuchus pallidicinctus (lesser prairie-chicken), 3302 nucleotides long. RefSeq lists it as uncharacterized. The transcript has 2 exons. NCBI's taxonomy places the organism in Eukaryota, Metazoa, Chordata, Aves, Galliformes, Phasianidae. The record is from RefSeq and is a predicted model, not a curated record.
UCUGACACCCUCACCAGGGCCAAAAAAACUUUCCAAUGUAUUCAUCAUCAUCGGGGUGGUUGGUUUUUUUUUCCCCUGUCCUAUCCUCUUCUCCAGACCACUUAUCUCUGCCCCCUCCUCUCUCCGCGCACCAGCGCAGCCUUCCCCCGAUCUGCCCCUUUAAGACAGACGCGCAGCGCUCCGACCCCUCCGCGCAGCGCCCCUCGGAGCGGACAGUGCCCGCGGACCCGGGUGCCAUCCCCGAACGAGGUGCCGCUGGGAGCGCUCCCGAGGGAACGGUCGCUGCCUCGCCGGGGGAAGCCGAGAGACCCACGGACAGCCGAGAACAGGGGGGUGAGAAACCAAAUAUAUAUAGAUGUACGAUCAUAACACCAGUAAACCCAAACGGUGCCCGUCGUCCCCGGAAGGGAAGGUGGAGGGAGAGCGGGCAGCUCCUCUUUGAAGAAAGGAGCGAAGUGUAAAUAGCCCGGUGAUUGAUGUGCUGUCUUUGACUGCGGAGAAAGCACUGUUUGAAUUCAAGUGGCCAGGUCAGAUGGUCACGGAAGAAGGUUGAAAGGUAGGAUUUAAUGAGAUUAAUAUGGAGAGAGGGAAAGCGCGCGCCUUCGCCAAGCUUCCCCAAAAUAAAGGGCUACGGGGACGCGCUGAUGGCCGCGCACCGACGGGGGAACCCGGAGCGCAGCCUCCGCGGGUGCGCCCGGAGCCGCAGGUGGGACUGGGGGCCGCGCUGCCCCUCCGCAGUGACCUCCGGCUGCGGCUGGGAGCGGCGCAGGGCCCGGCGGGUGUCGGAGCCCGCGUUAGAGGGACGGCGGCGGAACGGGAGCCCGAACGCAACCCCCGCGUCCGGAGGAAGGGAAGGAGCAGCCACGUGUCGCCCGAACGCUGAAGCGGUGCGCGGAGGUUCCUUCCUCGGAACGCGUGGGGAGACCCGGGCGUGGGUAAACCGAGCCGAGCCGCUCCGGGAAACGGGAUCCCUCGUGGCUGCGAUUCGCUGAAAUAUUUCUCCCCGCGACCUCGGCGGCUGCUUCUCUCCGAGGGGAAGGGAAAAGCGCAGCUUCGAAACGCUGCCCCGUUCAUUUCUGCCCUUUCCCGGCGGCCCCGACCCGAAGGAACGCCGCGCUCAGGUGAGCGCUCCGUGAGCCCCGGGCCGGGAACACGGCGAGCUCCGCGGAUCUGCGCGGGGCUCAAUACGGCCCCGCAGGGAAUUGUGCUGGGGACAAAGCCCUGCACCCCCGAGUUCCGAUUCUCCACAGCAAAUAGUUCAGUUCCUGCGGUAAAUGAGAGCGCAGCAGAGCCGCGCGUCACCGAGACCCACUCGCGAGUAUUUUAAGAGAUGAGAAAUGUUUUCGGGGCUGUGUGUACGCGGACACUCACCCUCCCACCCCCCCACCCCCCCCAAAAAAAAAAAAAAAAGCUUUAUUUGACUCUUCUGCAAAGGAAGGCACCGAGGAGCGAUCGAAAGAUCGAAAAUCGCCGCGCGUCCCGGCGCCGCGUGGCCGAGCCGAGCCCUCGCGUUUCUGUUCUCCUGUUUCCUUCUUGCUGCUGCCGCGGUGCUGGGGGGGGGGAGGGGGCAGCGGGGGUCCCUGCGAUGGGGGGUUGAGAGGCGAGGGGUAAAAAGAAAACGAAGAAAAAAAAAUUGAAGGGAACGAAUUUUUAAGCGAGGUGCGCUGGCAGAGGACGGCAGAGCUGUGCCGGCCCCGAGCGGCGCGUCCCCGCCGGCACCGGGCGCAGUGCGGGGCUCGGGGCACAACCACAGCCGUUCCCAUCCCGCAGCGGCGCAGCCUACACCUGUUGGAGCGCUUCCACCCAGAAUGGGAAAUUAAUGAGCGGGGAGGGAGGGAGGAAGGGAGAGGGGCCCGGCCCGGGUGGCCUCAAGGAGCCCGCAGCGCCCGGCCCCGCUGGGAGACCCCCGCGGGGCGAUGCGCAGAAAAGCGCAUCCCGGACCCUUCUCCCCUCUGUGCCAGGGGUCCGACCCAGGGCUGAGGCCAACGGAACCCGCGUAUUAAGGCUCUACAGAGCCCACCUCUGGCUGCUGUUCGCAGCUCCGUGUCUGCUUCCCGGCCCCGCUGCCACCCGUUGCAGCACCGGGCGCCGCACGAACUGCGGAGGGGCGGCGAUGCGCUACGGGCACCGCGAACCCCAUCCUAAGGGCAGCCCCGUCCCCAGCGGCCCUCGGGCUCACGGGGAGGCGGGGAGAAUCGGGACACGGCCCUUCGCCACUUGUUGUGCCCAAGUUUAAGCACUAAAGAAGAUUAAAAUGGUUGGGACGGCGCGGCUCGGCGGCAUCUCCGCACACGCAGCGGAACCCUUCUCCCGUCCCGAGGAUUUGCGCAUAAAUUCCUCAUUGUUUCCGCGCAGCAUCGCGGGGAGAUUAGAGCAGGAAUUAAUAUUUUAAACUACGCAAAUGCCCGUGGCACAGGACGGGUCAGCGAGCCCCGAGAAUGUCACACGCUUCCCCGGAGCUUUUCCCUUUCUAAUCUGCCAUUAAUAAGCGGAGGAAGCACCCACACAACGACCACAUUGUAAUUAAGGGCUGCCUUAAACGCACGCAAUCAAAGAGCCGCUCGCCCCGCCGGUGCCAAGGAAUUUCAUCACCUUUCGGGCCCGGCUGCGUGCUGCGGGCACAAGGGGGCGGAUAAGGACAGCGCUGGGGGCGGCGGGCAGCGCACCCCGACCCCGCACCCCGCCUCAGCCUCCCUAAACCCUUCAAGAUCUCCUUCCCGAAGAAUUUCCCCCGCUCCUUUUUCAAGUGCUUUUGUUAUAUUUAUUCUUCCUACUUAUUUUUAUUAUUCUCAGAUGCCUUUCAGAAUGACUGGGAAGCACAAGGACAGAAAAACGCGUUUUGUGCAUCAGCCGCGCUGCUUUGCGCUCUCACACUCCCUCAAUUUAUCUGCGCGCAAAAGCCGCGCAGCGCAGCGCUCUCCUGCAGCUCGCUGCCCCACCAACACCUCUCCCUGCACCGAAACACGCUCAGCAGACGCUGCCCUUCUUAUUUCUAGCAGAAGCUCUGGCUCUCCCAGCCCUGUAAACACGCGGUAUAAAUCGGCCCUUUCGGAUUUUCCCCCCAAACCGUUCCCAGCCCCAGAAAUUCCUCCGAAUUCGUUACGCUGGUCGAGGCCGCGCUUUGCAGGGCCGGGGAAAGGUAACAUCGCCCGUCUGAAAAUAACGAGUCACGACAAGAAAAGCGACGUUCACGUGUGAAUAUCGAACUUCAACCGUAUUGUUACCGCCGCCGUAAAAGAAACGCAGCAGCUUGCUUUAUUCCAGGAGAGCGCGGCCAUUAAAGAGAACUUGAGGAACCCUAA